Molecule: ribosomal RNA, 1154 nt
Filed under: Piceomphale pinicola
Lineage: Eukaryota; Fungi; Ascomycota; Leotiomycetes; Helotiales
Description: partial large subunit ribosomal RNA
Rfam family: Eukaryotic large subunit ribosomal RNA
Source: RNAcentral
UUGCCUCAGUAACGGCGAGUGAAGCGGCAUAAGCUCAAAUUUGAAAUCUGGCUCUUUCAGGGUCCGAGUUGUAAUUUGUAGAAGAUGCUUCGGGUGUGGUCCCGGUCUAAGUUCCUUGGAACAGGACGUCAUAGAGGGUGAGAAUCCCGUAUGUGACUGGGUGCCUAUGCUCAUGUGAAGCUCUUUCGACGAGUCGAGUUGUUUGGGAAUGCAGCUCAAAAUGGGUGGUAUAUUUCAUCUAAAGCUAAAUAUUGGCCAGAGACCGAUAGCGCACAAGUAGAGUGAUCGAAAGAUGAAAAGCACUUUGGAAAGAGAGUUAAACAGUACGUGAAAUUGUUGAAAGGGAAGCGCUUGCAAUCAGACUUGCGCCUGGUUGAUCAUCCGGGGUUCUCUCCGGUGCACUCGAUCAGGCUCAGGCCAGCAUCGGUUUGGGUGGUUGGAUAAAGGCCUUGGGAAUGUGGCCCCUCUUGGGGGGUGUUAUAGCCCUCGGUGCCAUGCAGCCUACCUGGACCGAGGACCGCGCUUCGGCUAGGAUGCUGGCGUAAUGGUUGUAAGCGACCCGUCUUGAAACACGGACCAAGGAGUCUAACAUCUAUGCGAGUGUUUGGGUGUCAAACCCAUACGCGUAAUGAAAGUGAACGGAGGUGAGAACCCUUCAGGGUGCAUCAUCGACCGAUCCUGAUGUCUUCGGAUGGAUUUGAGUAAGAGCAUAGCUGUUGGGACCCGAAAGAUGGUGAACUAUACGUGAAUAGGGUGAAGCCAGAGGAAACUCUGGUGGAGGCUCGCAGCGGUUCUGACGUGCAAAUCGAUCGUCAAAUUUGCGUAUAGGGGCGAAAGACUAAUCGAACCAUUGGAAAGCUACUAGGUGGUUAAGAGGUAUGCGAGAGAGGUACUUAGUCCCCUCCCCAGGGGGCAACAUCGCCAAAUUGACGGGGAAAUCCUGCUAGAAUUCUAGGCUACCGCAGCCCCAGCCGAAAGGCGGGGCGCGCACCGGGCUAACGACCCCGGGGAUGGUAACAACGCCUAGAUAGGGAUCACCCGCAGCCAAGUCCUACAGGCGCUUUCAGCGCUACGGAUGCAGUUCACAGACUAAAUGGUGGUGGGUUCAGGCCUAAAGGGCCCUGAGCCUAAGUUAUAGUCGAACCCCCGAGAGA